GACGAACGCUGGCGGCGUGCUUAACACAUGCAAGUCGAACGGCAAGGCCCUGCUUUUGUGGGGUGCUCGAGUGGCGAACGGGUGAGUAACACGUGAGUAACCUGCCCUUGACUUUGGGAUAACUUCAGGAAACUGGGGCUAAUACCGGAUAGGAGCUCCUGCUGCAUGGUGGGGGUUGGAAAGUUUCGGCGGUUGGGGAUGGACUCGCGGCUUAUCAGCUUGUUGGUGGGGUAGUGGCUUACCAAGGCUUUGACGGGUAGCCGGCCUGAGAGGGUGACCGGCCACAUUGGGACUGAGAUACGGCGCAGACUCCUACGGGAGGCAGCAGGGGGGAAUAUUGCACAAUGGGCGGAAGCCUGAUGCAGCAACGCCGCGUGCGGGAUGACGGCCUUCGGGUUGUAAACCGCUUUCGCCUGUGACGAAGCGUGAGUGACGGUAAUGGGUAAAGAAGCACCGGCUAACUACGUG
RNAcentral lists this ribosomal RNA (468 nucleotides) under uncultured bacterium. RNAcentral describes it as "partial 16S ribosomal RNA". It matches the Rfam family "Bacterial small subunit ribosomal RNA", at positions 28 to 507 of the family's 1533-position model. The record is from RNAcentral.